Long non-coding RNA from Syngnathus typhle (broad-nosed pipefish), 879 nucleotides. RefSeq lists it as uncharacterized. The transcript has 2 exons. NCBI's taxonomy places the organism in Eukaryota, Metazoa, Chordata, Actinopteri, Syngnathiformes, Syngnathidae. The record is from RefSeq and is a predicted model, not a curated record.
UCCAUAACUCCAGGAAGAAGGCAGAUCGCAAAUCCACUCGGGCUGCAGGUCCGCCGCCAUGUCUGCCAAUGAAGAGAGACGCGCGCGCAGGCACGCAGCGCGUACACGGAAACCUUGGCAACGGCGGAUGGCAGCCGUCAGCCGGCCAGCAGAGCGCGUGAAGGACCGAAGGGGCAGGGCCGCAUGAUCCAACCGUGACGCCCGAGAGUAGUAUUGAUCGGACAUGGGGGCUCACUUUGAAUUGACAGUCAGAUGUGUCAAAUGGUAAACACAAAGGGUCACUCAUCGCACCUGAGAUUGCUCAUGCGGUAACAUUUUUGGAUGCAGGCUGGUUGCUUUCCUUUCAAAAGGGAAGUCAACUCCAAAAUUUCCUCCAAAAUUAAAAAAAAAAAAAUCAUGUCAACUUGCAAUGUCAAUUUUUGAGAGGAGAAAUUAAUUUGUUCCAGCAAUUUCAGAAAAUGCCAAGUGCUCUUUCUCCAUCCAUUAAAAAUGCAUUCCAUCCAUCUGCACAAUGUAACAGACUAAGUUUUGUCAGCAGUGUAUUUUUUUUCUUUCUUUUUUUUUACACGAAGGAAAUGAGAACUCAAAAUGAAAUCUAUUUUUUGUCCCUCUUGAUCCCUGUCAAAAACAGAAAAUGAGAUUUUGAUCAUGUACUCACAUUUGUUGAAUAUCCCUCCCUUUCCCCAGAUCCAAUUUAAGAUUAUAAAAAGCUCUUGCUUUCUAUCCCGACUGAGCUGGCUAUCACCAUAUGCCAUUGAUACACGAGUAAGACUGACUCAAGAUUUGAGUUGCGUUGAUCACUGAUCUACUUCAACAUCAAAAGUACUUUUUGUUUUGUUGUGUCCAAAAGCAGAAUAAAUACAACAUAGUCAUUUGUAA